GGCUCAGGGUGGGGCAGUAGGUGAUAAAGAGCCCAGAGAGAGGAAAAGUGACCCUUUGUGACCUGGGCCCUGGUCUCUGUUGACAUCUUGGGCCUCAGCUGCAGUCUUUGCUUGAGCAGAAGAGUCAUGGAAAUUUCCACCCAGAUUCCUUUCCCAGCACUCAGUCCCCAGCUCCACAUUCUUCUAGGCCCUGCUGGGCUGAGUUCCGCUUGUGAGGGCUGCAGGCUUGAAGAGGCUGAGGACAGCCUCCAGGUCACGGGGACAGCCACAGAAGGCCAGUGGAGUGGACGCAUCAGAAUUUCAGAGGAGCGAGGGAGCCCUGUUAACAAACACAUAGUCAUCCGAGAAAAUGUACGCUGCCUUGGGACAGAGACUACUGAUGGAGUGGUGAUAAGUGGCGACUUUGGAUACAGUGGCCAGAGGGGUCCUGUGCAAGGAGUGCCCUGUGGUCAGGGUGACGAGGAGUCUGCCUUCUGAAGAGCUGUAGAGGAGCAUUCCCAGAAGACGAGCCAAAGACAGCAAAGACCAGGAAUCUGGAAGGGCCGGGGCACUAAGAAACAGGAGGGAGGGGGCCCGCAUUGCGGGCACAGGCAGCUUCAGGCCACUCUUUCACAGCCUUUCCUUUCUCUUGUCCCAUGGCCACCCCCCCACUCCCAAUCCAGGCCCCAUGACCUCUGGCCUGGGCUAUGGCACUGGGCCUCAGUGCCCUCCCCUCUGCUGCUUCUCCCAGCUCUGCCAUCCUGCCCAGAGCAGCCAGACAAUGCUUCCGGAAGCCAGGGCUUCUCCCAGCUCAGAAGCCAUCCUUCUGCCCUAAGAGCCAUGUCCAUGGCCCUCUCCAGGUGUCCACGCCAGCCCAGACCUCACUGCAGUCUUCUCUUGCUUUCCUGCCAACAGCCGCACCCAGCACCCACCUGGCCAGUCAUUUCCUCCUCCCCGCACAAGCCUUACCAAUUUGGGGUGUGCAGGUGCAGGGCCUCUGUUUACCUAUUCUGUCUGGGAUAUUCCCCACCCCCUGCCCCUCAUAAAAGUCUAUUAAAUCCUACACAUCCUUUUUGUUGUUGUUGUUGUUGAGAUGGAGGCUCACUGUCGCCCAGGCUGGAGGGCAGUGGCGCAAUCUCGGCUCAUGGCAACCUCCGCCUCCCGGGUUCAAGCGAUUCUCCUGCCUGCCUCAGCUUCCCGAGUAGCUGGGAU
Molecule: long non-coding RNA, 1191 nt
Filed under: Pan troglodytes (chimpanzee)
Lineage: Eukaryota; Metazoa; Chordata; Mammalia; Primates; Hominidae
Description: long non-coding RNA NONPTRT002684
Source: RNAcentral